UGCUUCUCUUUUUCUAAAAUUUGUUUGUCCAUAAACCCUAAUCACAAUUUCUUCCUCUAUGUCCUUUUAUCAAUUUCUUUACAUCAUAAUCAUAUCAGUUUAAUCACAUCUGCAAACAUUCUUUCAUUCUUUAAUUGAUUCAUUGUUGUUGUAAUAAUAAUGAAAAGAAAACCUGCUACAAUUGUCAUCAGAUUAUUACCUCAUAUGUUCACAAACCCUCAAUCAAAUCUGAAUUCUAUUUACAUAAAUUUCUUCAACAAAGUUAAGACCUUUAGAACUGUUGCUGCUGAAAGAAUUGAUUAUCAAACUCAAUCAAGUAAUAGUAACUCAUAUGGUUCAGAGGGAGGAGGAGAUGUUCAGCAGACUACUGCUGCUGGGUUUCACACACCAAAUCUUUACAGAGGUAAUCAUAAUGAUAAUAAUCAACUUCAGAAUAAUGGGUUCAAUCAAAAUGAGUUGAACAAGAACCCAAAUUCUUCAUAUUUUCAGAGCAAUUACAAUAGGAAUUUUCAACGCAACCCUAGUGAGUACCAUCCUCAGGUACAGAACACAAAUACCAAUGGGUUUAAUCCAAUUGAUUUCCAGCAUAAUGCUAAUGUAUGUUACACUUAUAAUUCGAGAGGUUUGGAACAGAAUCUAAAUGGUCAUUAUAGAGAGAAUUCUACUCCACACAGUGAGAAAGAGUCCUCCUGCGGAGAACAUUUGCAGAAAUCUAGUGGGUAUCAUCAGCCGGUUAUCGCUGUUAAUCAUGGCCAGUUGCAGUUCCAACAGAAUUCAUAUGGGUAUAAAAAGGAAACGGAAGUUGGGGGAUUUCAACGGAACGCAUUCGGAGAUGAAUAACGUUCAUUCUCAAUCAUCCGUGAAUAAUGUGGAAUCUGAAUUUGAAGUGAAGUGUAAUGGUAUCUUUGAGGAGAUGAAUAGUUUCUGUAAAGAUGGUAAUGUGAAGGAAGCUACGAGGGUUAUGAACUUGUUAUAUCAACAAGGUAUUGAGAUUGGUUUGUUCCCGUAUUGUCAGUUGAUGAAGGUUAUUGGGGAAGUUGUUGCUAAAGAAGAGGCAAAAUUGAUUCAUAACCAUCUCAUGAAGACAAAGCUCUCUUCGGAAACUACCAUACAGAAUAAGGUAUUAGACAUGUAUUUGAAAUGUGGCUUAGUGUCUGAUGCUCAUGAUUUGUUUGGAAAAAUACCUGCUCUAAAUCUGACAUCUUGGGACGCCAUGAUAGUUGGUCUGGCAGAUAAUGGAUACGGAGAAGAUGCAAUUGAUGUGUUCACUGAAUUCAAGGAGGCUGGAGGAAGACCCGAUGGCCAAGUAUUUCUUGGGGUUUUUUACGCUUGUAGUACCCUUUGUGACAUUACUGAAGGAAUGUUGCACUUUGAGUCGAUGAGUAAAGUUUUUGGUAUUACACCCUCCAUGGAUCAUUAUGUGGGUGUUGUGAAAAUGUUGGGAAGUACAGGAUACUUAGAUGAGGCUUUCGAGUUCAUUGAAAAUAUGCCUGUUGAACCAAGUAUUAAUGUUUGGGAAGCUUUGAUGAAUCUUUGCAGAAUUCAUGGGAACCUGGAAACUGGGGACCUUUGUGAAAGUGUCAUUGCUCUCUUAGACCCCUCACGGUUAAAUGUCGAAUCGAAGGCAGGUCUUGUGCCAGUAGACCCCUCUGAUAAUGUAAUAACCGAGAAGAAAAAAAUGUAUCUAGGUCAGGAACCAUUAGGAUUAGUUAGUAACGUCAAACAGUAUAUGGCAGGCGAUACAUCCCACCCUGAUAAUGACAUAACAUAUGCCCAUUUGAGGAUGCUGAGUGUGCAUAUGAAAGAGUCUGGUUAUAUACCAGAGGUUAGAUGCGCAUUGCAUGAUGUAGAUGAUGAAAGUAAAGCUACAUCACUUCUCGGACACAGUGAAAAAUUGGCUUGUGUUGCUGGUCUCUUAAGUACCCCUGCUCGCAGCCGCAUGCGAAUAAUCAAGAAUCUUAGAGUCUGUGUGGAUUGCCAUAAUGCAUUGAAGUUUAUCUCAAAGAUUGUUGGAAGGCAUAUCAUUGCUCGCGAUGCCAAGCGGUUUCACCAUUUUGAAGAUGGGGUGUGUAACUGCAACGAAUUCUGGUAAAGCGGUAGUAAGGCUUUUGAAGAAGAGAAAAGAAGAAGAAAUUGAAGAAUGGUGGUACAAUAUGAGGUACAUGAAGCCUGACAACAUUUAUACACGCUCUCUUUAAUGGACGAAGGAAUGAUGGAGGGCAGGCUGAGUAUACUCACCCCAACUAUUUCAUUGGUGAGAUUUAAACUGCAGAGAGAAAGUGAUGCUGCAAAAGGGCUGUUGUGGCUUUUUCAAGUGUUUACAGCAGGAGAAAAUCCAUGAAAAGAGCAAGGAUGAGAUGAUUUGUCAUUCUUCAAUAUCUGACAUGUUCCGAAUGGUUGAUAAAUCUAGCUGAAAUGCAGAGGUUUGAGGAAGCGGCAAAGGCUUUCUACUAAGGGGUUCAACUAGAUCCUGACAGCAAGGAGCUUGCAAUUGAUUUCAGGUCAUUAUCAUUCAUUGUUUUUACCUCAGCCUUUUCUUUAUGGUAACGAAUUGGUAGUUAUGUUGAAAGAAUGUCUAGUUCUGUAUUAUUUUAAAUACGGAUUGGGAUUCUGGAGUUACUCGGAUCAUUUUGAGUAAUGCGGAACUGCUUGAAUAUUCUAUGUGAAUAUUCUACAUCUGUAUUUUUGAAGCAAAUUGCU
Molecule: RNA transcript, 2700 nt
Organism: Papaver somniferum (opium poppy)
Lineage: Eukaryota; Viridiplantae; Streptophyta; Magnoliopsida; Ranunculales; Papaveraceae
Gene name: pentatricopeptide repeat-containing protein At2g25580-like
Exons: 3
Source: RefSeq, a predicted model, not a curated record